This is a long non-coding RNA of Oncorhynchus gorbuscha (pink salmon), 1457 nucleotides long. RefSeq lists it as uncharacterized. The transcript is spliced from 3 exons. NCBI's taxonomy places the organism in Eukaryota, Metazoa, Chordata, Actinopteri, Salmoniformes, Salmonidae. The record is from RefSeq and is a predicted model, not a curated record.
UGUUUCUGUCAGCUGAGCAGAGAACAACUUCACCACCAUUAGUGACAGUGGACCUGCAUGGAAAGAGGGAUGGAGAGAGAGAAAUGGUUUGAGAUCAUUCUCAUUUAUUGCAACUGCACAAAAACUGACAGAGUGACCAUGCCAUUUUACCCUCCUGUGACUCACCUGCUGUUCUCCACGAGGUAGAGCACGAUCUUGUCCAGCACCUUCUCUAUGAGGGCCGUGCGGAUCCAAAGGUUUCUGACCACCUGCGGGCUGAGGCUGGGCAGCCUGGACAGUAUCCCUCCUGAGCCUUUCUGCACAGCUCCUCUGCCGGGGCGAAGCUCUUCCCCACCUUCAUGAAAAGCGCUGCUAUCUUGUUGCUACGCAGGAAUCCCGCCGCUCGCCGCUUAAGCCCAUGGAGAACGCACGCCUCCACCGCAGCUGCACACACACACACACACACACACACACACACACACACACACACAAAUAGGCACAGAAAUAACAGUACAUUUCAAAAUAUAGAUGAGAAACAAUCUGAGAGUUCACAGAAACUUGUCACCAUUAUGUUCUGCAUUUUAAUAUUUCAUUCAACUUUAUUAAAAAUGUAAUAUCACUGUAUGAUGCUGGUGGUGAGUUACAAGUUACAAUACAUCAUAUGACAUACGAUGAUGAAUGCACACCACAGAAGGCUGCUGAGGGGAGGACGGCUCAUAAUGUCUGGAAUGGAGUGAAUGGAAUGAUAUUAAACACAUGUAAACUACAUGUUUGCUGAGUUCAAUACCAUUACAUUUAUUAAGGUCCAGCCAUUACAAUGAGCCGCCAGAGUUGGUCCUCCACCAAUUAAGGUGUCACCAACCUCCUGUGAAGCACACAAUUAUAGUGUCAAUAGAAGGGGAUUCACAUUCUAAAAAAACACAUCUACCAUCAUACUGUGUUGUAAAAAAUAUGAUACAUGGUCCUAAAUAAAAAUCUCUCAAUACCCAUAGAGAAUCUGCAUAUUAUAAUACUUAGCUUCUGUGUAAUUGUGACUGAGCCGUAUGAUGGAGACUUCAGACAAAGCUCUGCAGCUUGAGGCUGUUAUGAAAGUGACUCAAAUAAGCCAAUCAUUUUUAUUACGUUAUCCAUAAACAUAAUUAUAUUUUCCUAAGCCAAGAGCUUAUCCAGUAAACACUAGUGCACACGCACCGUAUGCACACAUACACACGAACAGACACAUCUUUCUAUAAGGCCUACGUGGCAGUGCCUUGAGCGGUUUUGACAUUUGAGCUCUCUCUCAGGACUAAUCCCGCGGUUGUCAUGGAAACCCCUGCUGAUGGAGUGCACCAGCGCUGAGAAAGAAAGCAGUGGAGGGAGAAUCUUUCUCUGCCUGUGAUGUACUUUCAACCAACUUUGCCCACCGGCAGUACAAUACAGCUAUAACCUUGCCUAUAUCAAAAUAAUUUCUAUACCAUGUCCAUUAUUGCACUGAAUAA